This 38128-nucleotide long non-coding RNA is filed under the name Eucalyptus grandis. RNAcentral's name for it is "long non-coding RNA (EGRA_LNC004551)". Lineage: Eukaryota; Viridiplantae; Streptophyta; Magnoliopsida; Myrtales; Myrtaceae. The record is from RNAcentral.
UUGUGUGGCUUUUAUAAGUAUGUGUAAUAAGAGUGACUGUUUUCGUUUUGUACAACAUGUGACAUUCACUAUGAGAAGAUUAUGGAUAUGUACUAAGCUUACUGGGGAAAGAUCACUCGAUAAACACAAGAGCGAGUUGAAUAUGAACUGAGCCUGCCAUGCCGACUUUAUCGGGGUGACUUUUAGAAUCUGAGAAAUCGGGAUUUUGAAGAAUUCAAACUCAGUCGUACAUACUAAGUGACGCUUUAUUCUCCUCCAACCAUGAGUUCAAUACUAACACCGUGUGCAACAUACUCUUAAGACUGGAUGCUACACAUAGAUACAAUGCUUCGCUUUGUGUUUGGUUUGGUAGCGAAGUAAAGGAACAGUAAAAUGUUACCGGAUGUUCUCGCAAAAACAAAGUUUGGGAUAAAAUGCUGGCGUAGUUGAUAUGAGUGUCGGGGAAAUCAAAGGUUUCUUGUUCAAGUUUCACCACCUACGGUGCAUGAGCUUUUAUGUAGCUCGAUACCUUUGCUCAUGCCUCUGCAUUAUUAUAAAACAGUCGGAGAUAUUGCGCAAGUUUCCUAAAAUUAAAAACGACACUUCUAUUGUUUUUUAUUUGGAAUUAGAGUGGAGCAAUGUUGUUUUGUUUUGGUUUAGGAAAAUAACGCAAAUAGUCAUUAAACUUUGGUCCAAUGUGUUAUGUUCUUACUGAACUUUUAAUUUAUUUAGUAUGGUUGUCGAACUUUUUGUACAUGUUUAAUUUAGAUCCUAGGCUAGAUAAAUCUAAUGACGCUGUGUUUGGUCGUUCGAACAUCUUUGCUAUAUGGGAUAAUGAUAGGAUAAAAAUCCCAUCUAAUAUUUCUUGACGUCCGGAUAUAACAUGAUUCAAAUAAAACAAAUUUAAAUGAGUGUUUGAUUUGUAUAAUUAAAAUUAAAAGUAAACCAUGGAAGUCGUGAAUAGUAUUCAUCCUUUCACAAUCUUCAUCGAUAUUAAACACCCCCGUUCCAUGUGACUUCAAGGACGCUCUCCUUCUGCAACGCCCCUUUCGCUGCCCUUGAUCAACUUGAUGGAUUACGCUCGCUCUACCUUUGACUUCGCCACAUUGAGAGGCCCUUGGGUUUGAGUUCUCCGCUGGUCUAGCCAUCUUUACUUUCAACGCCUUUUCCUGCGAUGAAUCCAUCCCCUUCGAUGAGUGUGAAUACUGCGUUGAUUCCCUGUUACCGUGUCCCGACUUGUUCAGUCACUUCAACAGCUUCCCCGAGACAGCGUGCGGAUCCGGUUUAUGAGUGGUAGCAGCAUCGGUACAACUCGCUCCAAGUGACGUGGUUGAGGAGCUCUAUCACCUUGGCUGCUGCCUCUUUCGGAUCAUCUUCUUCACAGAGGAGGUGUCCAGCUUUGAUCGGGAUCACAAAGUUCCCAACUAAAAUGGAGUUAAGUGACAUAAGAAAGAGGCAGGGCUGACGAGCUCCGGCGCCACUUUUCCGAGGCAGCCAAAGGUGGUAAGCAGCUUGUCACUGGUAGGAGGAACGGUGGCCCUUAGAGUUUGCUCAGGUCGUUGUGGCGAGGGCUUCUCUAGGUAUCUUCGUGAUACUCAUGCUUUAAGUUUGUGGUGGUCAUUUUAGCGAGAAAAAUCGGAACGAGAGAGAGAUGAUGGUGGCACUGGUAAAAAAUGAGGAUAAGCCAUCAACAAGCGCAGGAGUGGGGGAAAAACUUGUAUCCCUUAUUUUUUCAAUUUUCCAAAUUUCACAUAUCCUAUCUAGAUCUAUAUCACUUUUUAGAUGGGAUUUUUUAUCCAGACUAUAUCUAAAUUUCACUAACAUCGGGACCCCUAGAGUGCCAAAAGUUUGCACAAAAAGACAAUUAAGUGUCAAAAGUUAUGAAAAUGACACUUAAGUGCUAAAAUUGGAAUAAAAUAGAUCACUUAAGUGCAAAUCUGGUCAAAAUAUUGACAUGACAAUUUUCCAGCAAAACAAGUGCAAAACGGUGUCGUUUUGGUGCUGACAUGGAAAAAAUUAAUACAAAAAUUAAUUAAAUGAAAUUUAAAAUUAAAUUUAAUUAAAACAUUUAAAAAUAAAAAUACAAAAAUUUUAAAAAAGGAGAGAGGCGGUUGAGGGCUGAGCCCUUGUCGCUAGGAAGGGUCGGAGAUGGAGGGGGGAGGGUUAGCCGGGGUUGCCGGGCCCUAGGCCAGGGGCCGGCGACCUCGGCCAACUGGUGGCAAGGGCCCGCGAGCCCUCGCCUAGUUUUGGGGCGAGGGUUGCGGCCCUCACCUAGUUGAGCCAAGGGCCGCCGAUCCUCGCAGAAUCUGGGUGAGGGCUGCAACCCUUACUAGAUUUGGGCAAGGGCUCGUGAGCCCUCGCUGCCGGUUAGUUGGGGUCGCUGGCCCCUAGCUAGGGCUCAGCGACCAUGGUUGACCCUCCCCCCUCCGUCGUUGACCCUUCACGGUGACGACAGCGAUGGCUCAACCCUUAGCUACCUCCCCUCCCCCCCUCUUUGUCUCUCUGUCUCUGUCUCUCUCUGUCUAUAUAUAUAAAUAUUUAUGAUUUUUUAAUACUUGUAUUUGUAUUUUUAAAUGUUUUAAAUAAAUUUAAUUUUACAUUUAAUUUAAUUUACAUUAUUUUUUUACCAUAUUAACACCAAAACGACGUCAUUUUUGCAUUGUCUAGCUACGACAGUGUGCAAAAUGAUGCCGUUUUGCACUUACUUCGCCAGAAAUUGCGUACAUCAGAGCCAUGAUUUCGUUUGUAAUAAUAUCCGUUCCAUAUGCUUAAUAGGUGAAUCCAAUGCUGAGAAGGUUUCUUCACAUCAUGACAGAUCUAGAAAUACUAGAAGCAUCUGUUUCUCUUACUGCAUCUCCAUCUUUUUCAACCCCUUCAGAUUUUCAUGUUUUAAAUGCUUCUAAGAUAUACUAUCUCUAUGAAAUCUCUCUUAGCGAUGAAACCAAAAUCUCUGAAACUUAACUUUCCCUGAUGAACUCAUAUUUUGCUUUUGCUAAACCCACCUCAUCCUUUUCUCCCAUUCGUUCCAUUCGCCAACUUAUUCGCCAAACUCCAAAGGAAGUAAAUGAGUACGUUAAGUCCUUCAAGUUCGACCAACAUCCCAUUCUCGCCAUUGAAAAUGAGUACUUUGUUACUCUCUAGAUUCCUCCAGAGUUUCCUAGGCAAUAGAUUCAAAAAGGAUAGUCUCAUGUCCAUUAUGGAGUUGUUCGUCUUGCUCUUACUUUUUAUGGCCGCAAGGGCUUGCCAGUUGUGGCAAGAAUAGCAUUACUGGAUACUAGAUUUCUAAAGUACUAGUAUACUUGUAUCAGUACUAUCCAAACCACUUUAAAUGUUGGAAUAGUUUUUGUGACUUUGUAUCCAAAUUUCAAUUUGCUCUUUCAAAUCCACAGUUACUUUCCUUUUUGAAAGUCUAAGUUUAGCUCACUGGAGCACCUCAGACAGCUGAUUCUGUUGUUGCAACACUACACUACUAGAUCGUUUAUUAAGUGCAGAACCAUGCUCUUGACUUGAAUUUCCACAAUGAAAAUGAAGAUGCUUUAUUCAUCUCCAUGCAAAAUGAUCAUGCAUCCUGCAUUCAUGUUCCCAGACAUAUCCCAAAGGAAAAGUUGCCAAGCUUCUUCUAGAGACUUGGAUCACUAACUAUGAAAAGUUACAUCAGAAUAACAAACCUUUCUAGUCUUCAGACUUUGAAUUUGUCAGAAAGAAAGAUGGAACUGUUUCCAUCAAAUUUGGCAAGGAAAAUAAAGAAAUUCUUUUUAUCUUCCAAAUCCUCUUUAUGAUCGAACCAUGUGUUCCGAGCUAGAUAAAAAAAAAAGAAGCUUGUUUAAUACUUCAAAAGUGAUUAACAUCAUGUCCAUUACUACAAAGACUAGUAUGGUCACUGUUUCUAAGAUCCUUUUUGUCAAUGUUCUUUUUGCACAAACUCUCCCGACGAGGUAGACCCAUAUGCAAGACCUCGACGGAAGCAUAAGAAGCCAAAAGAUCCUAUGUACCAAAGGUACUUGAAUGGAGAUCCCUCCGUUGAUACUCUUGGUGAGUGUGAUAAAUUCUAGUUUAUGGUUUCCUAUACACCAACUCCACCACCAGAGUUCAUUACUCCACUAAUAUCACCAAGUUCAUCACCAUCACCUCCUCCAUCUCCUCCAAAAAAAAAAGAAAACCAACUCUUUCCCCAUUUUAUAAGCCAAUCUUAAAGUGGGCGAAUAAAUAUUCCUACCCACUUGAGGCUCUAGCAGAACACCACCAAGUUCUUUCAUAGCCAUGUUCCAUGAGACAUACUUUCCUCUUUUUAUUCGAGAAAGUUAUAAUCUCGUUUCCUGCUCCAAAAGAAUUCAUUGAUCUACAAGGCAGAUAUCGGCAUGCCCCUAAGAUACCUACCCCCACUGAUGUGGAUGGACAUGGAAGAUAGAAAAGGACUCCUGUUGUUGAAGCUGUCCUAAAUUGGCAAUCGGAAACUCUUUUAGCAUAUAACAAUGCGUUCAAAGCAAUUGAUUCCAAGAUUGUAAAUGUGCAACAAGAUUUUCGAAAUAUGAUGAAACCACCAAGAAGAUGCUUUCAGAUUUCCAAAAGAGGCUUCAUGCCUUGGAAUCUAGAUAACAUUUAGGGUGUCAUCAUCUCGAAAGUCCUAAGGUGGAAAUAGAGAAGCUCAAAAGGCAAAUUCAACUCCUUGAAGAAGGAAGAUUCAAUCCAUUUCCGACUACUUUGCGGACAGAGCAUCCCCCUCUUCCACUAGCCCAUAACACAUCUAUCUUUGUUGCUAUCACAGAUGUUCUUGUUAGGCAAGAUAAGACAAAUGUGGCUGAAAUGCGAAAUCUUCUCAAAGAACUGGACUGAAUAAGAAAAGAAAAGGGAAAAGAGAAGAUGCCUAAAGAAUCCUUGCUUGUCAUAAGGAAAAAGCCAGAUCAAUUGAUGCUGUCGAAUCUAUUAGAAUCUUUCCGAAGAGAUUUGGGUAAUCAGGAAUCACAGUCUGAUCUUGUUACUCAACAUCUUGAUCCCGUCAUUCCAACAGAUCAGAUUCUAUUUUCAGCAGAACUAGCUUUUCCAAAUAUCUUUGAUACUGAAUUAAAUUCGGUAUCCCUCUUGUCCUCCUCAUCCUUCUCAAUCCCUACCAUUGAUUCCUUCCCUAUUGUACUAGUAAUUUCAUCAAUAUUCAUGAUCGAUCAUCCGGACCAAGAUAUGGAAUCAAACCAUUCUGAACCAAAGGUUGUUUAGCCAAACAAUCCCUCCCAGCACGUGUAUUUUGCAUCAAAAUAGUUUAUUUAUUUAUUUAUUUAUCGUUGAUGACAUUCCCUAUCACAAAUGGCCAUAAAGACUUGAAGAAUUUCAUACUUGGUUAAAUACCCAAACCCUUACCAACCAGGAUAAGUAUGAUGUCAUUUUUGAUUUUGUCACAAGGUUUACAGGUAGCCUCAAAUAUUGGUGGCAAUCUGUGUUAGAACAAGACCGGCUUCAAUUUUUACUCUCACUUGAUUUUGGUCAUGCCAUUAUCCUUCUAUAUCAUUUCUUUGUGGGAAAACCUUUUGACCUCCAAGAGCUUAAAAGGAGAGAAUUUUUCGAAAGAAGAUGCUGCUUCUUCCAGAAAAAAACAUCUUGAUAAAUAUUAUCGAGAAAUGUUUAAGCUCUUCUAUGGUAUUGGAGCUGAUCCAAACCAGAAACGCAUCUUCUUGACUUCCAUCCCCAAAGAAUUGUCUCAAUAGGUGGAGAGAACUUUUCUCAGCAAACAAAGAAGGAUUCAGGAUAUUCCGUUAGGAGAAAUCUAACAAGAAAUUCAUUUGUGCCUUGAAGAAUUGUGUAUCAAAUGCCAAAUGAUCCAGACUUAUGUCGACAAUAACAGAGAACUUGAUAUAGCAUGUUCUCGCCAUAAGCUAAAGAUCAAAUGUUCAAAGCGAGAUUGUGAUGGUUCUUGCGGAAAAUUUUCCAGAAAAAAGCACUUCAAGAAGCUCUGGAUAAUGAAAUCUAGGCGUGGCUCUAAGCAUUUUUGAAGAAAGAAGAAAUGGCGACACCUAUGCAAAAGGAAAGAUCACUCAGGCCACAAGAAGUCAAAUCAAUGCUUCAUCUGCAAUUAGAAAAGACAUUUUGCCAAAAAUUAUCCCCAAGCGAGAAAAUGUCAAAAUCAUAUGAUAUAUCAUAUAGAGAAUGAAACAGGUAAUUCUCUUGAAAAUGAUAAUAUCGAAUCUUUAUUAUCUGAGAAUGAAGAACCAUCUGAAUAAACUCUUUGUGUCAUUCCUUGUUACGAAACUUCUAGUGAAAUUGAUUCGGAUUCAAAUCCUGAAGAUAUUUUUCACAUAUCUCUCACUUCUUCAGAAUAAAGCACUAACAUAUUUUCAAGCUAAAUUCAUUGUCCCCAUUUCCCUGUGAAAAUCUUCACUUCAAAGUUUGCCAAGCCUUUCAUUGUCAUUGCUCUCAUAGAUACUGGAGCAAGUUCUUCAAUCUUGGACACCAAAGUUAUUCUUGAAGAAUAUUGGACUUCCUAUGUUUGAUACUUCAAUUCUACCUCAGGAGAUACUUUUUCUACGAAUGUAAGAACUACCCUAGUAAUCAUCUAAUUUUUUCCACAGUGUUCCAUAACCAUAAAAAUCUCUGGUUCCAGUCUUCCCCACAAGGAUUUGAUCAUUGGCUGGGAUAUCAUGACUAAAAUUUCUCAACUUCGUAUCAUUUCUAGAAAAUGUCUUAAGUAUAAGGACUAAUUUUCUAAAUUCGUCAAUAUCCAAAGACUUUUUUUCCAUCCAAAUGAGCCUGCUAGACCCCAUCAUGCAAAAGUUGUUAAAAUCAUGUUUGGAAUUUCAUUUUGAAUUUGCUCAAAAAUGUUCUCACCCUCUAUGGGAAAAUUUAGAGUUCUUUGUUUGCCUUCCUUUUUUAAAAAAAAAUGAGGAUAUCAAUCUAAACAAGGCGAGUUACAUGGGAAUGAAGUCAGAACACUUGGUUUUAACUCAAAGGGAAUGUUCGGAACUAUUGCAGCAAUGCCUUAUUGAAAUCUCCAAUUCUCAAUGGGCCUGUGAAGCUUUUUUAUGUCAAUAAGCGUGCCGAACAAAAUAGAGGAAAUAUGAGAAUGGUAAUUAACCAUCAGCCUCUUAACAUUUUUUUCCAAGAUGAUAAAUUCCCUUUACUCUCCAGAAAUUCCCUAUUUACUAGAUUAUCCAAAGCCCAUAUUUACUCUAAAUUCAAUCUCAAAGCCAGAUUUUGGCAAUUGUGCAUCCAUCCUAAAUACAGACCCAAGAUAGGGUUCUGUAUCAUGAACCAACAUUUCCAAAUGGAAAGUUAUUCAUUUUGGUCUAAAGGUGGUACUAUCCUUAUUCCAAAAGGUCAUGUGUCGAAUUUUCCAACUAAUUUUGUCAAGUGCAGUAAUAUACAUUGACGAUAUCGUGCUUUACAAUCUUAAUGAGCAGUCACACUGCCAACUUCUUAAACAGUUUGUAGAAAUUGUGUAAAAGCAUGGGAUCAUGCUUUCUCAAAAAAAGAUGAACAUUGUCCAUAUAUAAAUUGAAUUUCUUGGUAUGACCUUAACAAAGGUAUGUAUUAUCCAUGGCCAUAUAUUGCUCAUGAAUUGUUGAAAUUUCCUGAGGAAAAUUUCACAACAAAGCAAGUUCAGCAAUUUCUUGGAAUAAUUAAUUAUCUCAAAGAUUUCGUUCCAAACAUUGCAGAACUGUUGAUUCCAUUGAAAUUGAUGCUGAAAAAGAAUCCCCCACCUUGGAGAAAAUCUCAGACUAAAGCAGUCGUCGAACUUAAGGAGAUUAUGUAGACUCUUCCUCUGUUACAAAUCCCAUCGAUAAGGAAGAUAAUUCUCUAGAUCGGCGCCAGUGAUGAAUACUGGACAGCCAUCUUGUUUGAAGAAAUUGAUGGUAAGAGACAUCUGUGUACCUAGAAAAGUGGAAAAUUUUCCCAAGCUGAAAUGCAUUAUCAUUCCACUUUCAAAGAAAUCUUGGUGAUGAAAAAUGGAAUAAAAAAGUUCGAAUUCCAUCUCAUUGGCCAUCACUUCAUGGUAAAAUUGGAUAUCCUCAGAUGAUCAAGUUCAAACAGAAGCAGAUUUCGAAUUUUCAACUGCUUCAAUGGGCUGAAUGAUUUUCAAAAUACUCUUUUGAAACCAAACAUAUUGCCGGAAAAAAAAAUGUGCUUGCUGACUUCUUGUCAAGACCAAAAGCACCAGUAAAAAUCAACAUGUACAUCAUGAGGCAUGCUUUUCAUAUUCUUCAUAACAAUGAAAAGUAUAAGAUUGAAAGAAUACAAGACUAGUCAAGCUGGCAAUAUUACUAGGAGAUUGUGGAACAAAUCUAGAAUGACUGCCUUAUUGAAAAUUUGGAUAAUCUCAUGUGGCAAUUCCACACAGAUCUGUUUAGAUUUAAUGGGGGUUCGAUUCUUUAUCUUUUUAGAUUAAAUUCAGACUAUCCGUUCAUACAUCCUUUAAUCUGGAAGGAAGAUAAUUUCCCUGACCAACUUCGAUGGUUAUUAUGGUACUUAACCAAUAAGUACUGAAUAGUAUUGAAAUUCCAACUAGAAGAUUUAUUACCAACCUCACUAGGAUAUUUAGACUUGGCAGAUGAAACAUUGAAAAAGAGAGUGACAGAAAUCUCAUAGGUUUCCUUAAUUGGUUUUAUCCCUCUACUCACUGGAAAUACCUCUUGCAGAAAGAGCUGAGAACCACACAACUAAACCCUGAGGUCCAUAUUAUUUUGUUUUUUCGACGACCGUGGGCUUUUGUCACAAAUAAUGGUAGCAGUAGCAAUGCCCCCCAAAUUAUAGGUACCACAUCCUAUAAACCUCAACCACAUAGUGUAGAAGCUCAGAUUUACAAAUCUUAUUUAGAACCCGUUGGUUGCUACGAGCACCAGUAUCGAGAACUCCAAAGGAUUUUGUACUAGGAAAAUAAAAUCAUUCCUAAAGAUGCAUGGAACUAUAAUGUACCCACUGUAUGAGAUUAUUAUAGUCUCACACUAGAAGUUAAGGAAGCACUCGAAAUAUUCAGACAAGUUACAUCAUCACAGGAGCAUGAAAUGGCAGACACAGAUGACAUCGCACAGUCCUCUCAAGAUCCCUAUGUCAAAUGGGGAGGUCCUCUUUCUCAAGAUCCCUAUGACCAAGAAACUUUGUCCUUAUCUCAAAGCAUUGACACAUCCUACUAUACUCAGUCAUCCAAUUGGUCUCAGCUAAGCAUUCUUGCCAACACUACAGGCUCCUCUUAGAAUCAAGCGAAAGCAUCCUCGUCAAAUCAAAUUCUCUCACCAGAUUCACUUGUAGGACUUGAGAAAAAAAUAUGAAGAAUAGCUUAUGUCAAUGUAUAGUUCGGACGACUCAGACUAUGACUAUAAUGCUCGUGAUGGACGAGACUAUUGACCGUACAAGUCACUGUAGCAAGUCACUUUUCACUUUCAUUGUAGCAGUAGACUAGGGAAAUAACUGUUCAUUAUCAAUGUUCAUAUCGUGCGAAUAAUCUCCUAUGCCUUUAUUUGUUUCAAGAUUGUGAGAAUGAUCCUUGUUUAUGUGUGACCUCUUAUUGCCUAUAAAAGACAAGAAUGAUGUAAUGUGUUGGGCAGAGUCCCUUGAAGUAAAGUGAGUAUUUUGUGUAAAACUCUCUAUGGCUUUAUAAACUUAUCUUCUUCUCCAGUCUGGUAGGAUCAUUUGAGAAAUGUAGUUCGGAUAGUUAGAAAUGUUACCAUCCUGGUUCUAUAUGAGUGUUUCUAGACUCUGAACUAAAGGGAAGAGUGGUUUUAUGUUAAAAGGCUGUCUCUGAAGGGCUUGAACGGAAGAGGUUCACCUACUGUGGGGUAUGCCAACUUUUGGCACUUGAAAUAAUCUUUUGCCGAAUUUCACGUUACUCUAAACACCGGAUAUGAUCAAACUUUUACUAUCAAAGUUUUAUCUAGCCCAUCAAAGGCAGUCUUAUGAGAUAGGAUGCAAUGAUAUAAUCUAUGAAUUAGAUCAAACAUUUAUUAAAAGUUUAAGAACGAUAUUUCAUUUUUUGAAUGUUAGGAUGCACGAGUAAGUUAUGUUAAAACAAUCCCACAAUAUAUUGAUAGCUUUGAAAUAAGGCUUUCUCUUGGUGAUGACGAAGAUCCAUAUGGAGAAAUUAAUGGGAGGGUUUGUUUGGCCUAACUAAAUGAGAGGCUAUAUCAGUGGGAGGUUUUUCAUUGUAACCUUGUGCUUGGUAUUUGUAUUUUAGUAAAGGAUUUUGUUAGCAUAAUAGUUUCUGAGUUAUUGUGAGAAUAACAACUUAUUAUGAGUUACAAAAUUUUCUCUUUCUUUUUUUCUUCACUUCCUUCUCCUUCCUCCAACCAAUCAUCACUAGUGAUUGGCAAGAGGCAAGGUUGGUGAGGUACCUCGCUGGUCUCGAGGAAGCUUGACCAUGGUUAGGCAACCUUGCUCAUGGCUAGGCGACCUCGCCUAGGCCGCCAACUGGGCUGGUGAGGGUUGACCCUCGACGGCCAUGGGUGAGGACAAAUGCCGCUAGUUGGGCUUGCGAGGCUCGCCCUUAUUGAAUUUGGCGAGAGUUGAGUCUCAUUGGCCAUGGGUAAGGUCAAAGGCCGUGACCUCACGUGGUCUUUGGUGAGGCUUGCCAAAGGUUGGGCAAGGCUCACCGUCGUUGGACUGAUGAGGGUCGAGUCUCGUCGGCCAUGGGUGAGAUUGCAACUUGCCCAUGGCCGGCGAGGUGAGCCUAGGCCAAAGGCAGGCGAGACCUUGCCUAACCAUGGCGAGGGUGGCCUCACCAUUGUUGGGUGAGGCUCACCCUUGCUAGUGGUGUGUGGGGGUAAGCCUUGCCAUUGGUUGGCGAGGCUAACCUUGCUGGCUUGAGUAAAAUAAAAUAUUAUUAAAAGAUUAUCUACAUCAAUAUUAGUUGGACGAGCGGUGUUGGUCGGCCAAAAUUUCUGAAUGAAUUGAAUAGUAUAAUUGCAAAAUGUUUGGGAUUGAAUUGGCUAAAAAAAAAGGUCUAAGUUUGAAUUGGAAAAAUUACAAUAAGUUUAUGAUUGUUUUGGUACGUCCUCCCUAUAUGGGAAGGAUCGUGACUAUGCUUCAAUUGAUGUAAGCAAGUGCAUCUUCACAGCCACUACCGCUCCCCUCCUACUCUUUGUAGCUUAUGCUACUCCCCUCUUAUAAAUCUCGGCUCGCCUGACGCCUUCGCCAUUGUGUAGGGAACGAGCGAGCUCGAGCUAGACCACAGUAAUGGCGGCAUCGACAAUGACGAUAAGGAGGAUCAAGUUGGGGUUGCAGGGCCUGCAGGUGUCGGUGCAAGGGCUGGGCUGCAUGGGCAUGUCCGCCUUUUACGGGCCACCCAAGUCGGAGCCCGACAUGAUCGCCCUCAUCCACCAUGUCGUCGGCUCUGGCGUCACCUUCCUUGACACCUCCGACAGCUACGACCCCCACACCAAUGAAAUCCUCCUUGGAAAGAUCGGUUCUCUCAGUCUCUGUUUUGCCUUCGCAUGAACUAUAUGUGCUUAUAAUGUUACGGAAUGUAGCUUCAUCGAGCAGAGUGCUUUGAUCCUGCGCCUUGGUUUUCUGAUUUCGGGGUUGAUUUUGAGCAGGCACUAACGGGAGGGGUGAGGCAAAAGGUGGAAUUGGCGACCAAGUUCGGAAUCAGCUUCGCGGAUGAGAAGAAAGAGGUCCAGGGCGAUCCGGCAUACGUGAGGGCGGCUUGCAAUGCCAGCUUGAAGCGACUUGACAUCGAUUGCAUCAACCUCUACUACCAGCACCGUAUCGACACUCGCGUCCCCAUUGAAGUCACUAUAUGGAUCCCUUAUCAAACUUUCACCUCGCUUGAGACUUUCUCCGAGCCAUAUGAUUAGUUGCUAAAUUAGAUUGGUGUUGAUGAUGCAUCGUCAUGUUGUUACAAGUUUGUUGAAUUUUGUUAAAUGACACUUAAGUUCAGCUGAUAGCAAAGCUCAAGAUGCGGCACGGUGUUGUUCAGGGGUUGUGGAAUUUAGUAGUUUAAUGGCUUGAGUUUUCGUUUUGUGGGCAUCCUUUACAAGUUAAGGGUCAACAAGCAUGAAAAUCAUUCGAAAUCUUCCUUACCUUUGAGAUGAAAGUGCUCCGGGGUUCAUCCUGAUUUUUUUUUUUUUUGGUGGUGAAAGUAAGUAAUUGUAUUAAGCUUUGCCAACUAUACAAGAUGAAAUCUUGGCACCAAAACUUGCACUCAGAAUGACAUGACGUCAAUGCGAGUGGAAGGAUGCUGAGAUGAAAAAUAGCAAGCAAUAAACGGUGUUGACACCUAAAUUUUGGCGAUCCGAUUAUUUAUUUAUUACAUAAAAAUUAUGGGUCAAUUUGUCUCUUAAAAAAUAUUAAUUACAUAUAGAUUUAGGUGCAUUUAUUUUUAAUUUAAUUUUUUUGUAUUUUAUUGGAUCGAUGGUGGAUGGAUUCAAAUUAAUGGUUAUGAAUUUUAAAUUGACAAAUCGAACUAAGUUCACGAAUAUAAGAAAUUGGCGCAAGCCCGUAUUUGAAAAAAUUCUAUUGUAAUUUUUGAAAAAUCAAUAGAAAACAUUCAUUUUUGCAAAGGAAAUCAAGAAGAGCUGUGGAAAAUAAAAAGUGAUAUUACGUGCGGAAAAGAAAUCUUUGCAGAUGUUGAUUUAAAAAGGAAAUUAAAAUCCUAAUUUUUGGUCUAUAAAAAAGUAACUUAGUAUAGGGUUUUGGGGAGGCUACACAUGGAAUACACAGCCAGUGGAGGGCGAAAUUCGAAAAAAUUUGGAGAGCAAACGCGAGGGGGCUUUUUCCUUCGGUUGAUUGGAGUUGAGAAUUCAAGAAAAAAGAAGAAGAAAGAAUUCGUUUGUUUGUGAAAAAAGGCAGCAAAAGUGUGCAGAAAAAAAGGAAGAGACAGAGACGGGACAGGGAAGAGUGAUGUGAGAGAGAGACGUGGAGUAGAAUAAAAAAGAAAAAAGAAAGUAAAAACAGGGAAGACUGUUCAUCCUCGCAAGCGCCUCAACCGCUGUCGCCGAUCCCUUUCGCCCGCACCGGCCCGCGACCUGCAGCCGCCGCGCUCCGUCGCCGCCUCACCCGAGCCGCCGACCACCACCGCUCGCUGCUCACACUACCGCUGUCCCGAUCUGCCCGCUCGAGCGUCCCUACGCCGGCAGAUCUGAGCUGCUCGCCACUCCACCGCCGCGCGAGUUCCCGCACCGGUCCGCGCCUCCUCUGCUGCUCGUGCCGUGCCACCACCAGGGUUCCUCUCGCUCGCGAGCUCGCACCGCCGCCCCGCUGUGCUGAUCCGCGACGACCCGACGCUCCGCUGCUGCUGCUGCUGCACCUUCGCAGGUCACCCCACCAGCACCACCGUUCGUCGCCCUGGCUGUAGGCGCGACGACUCGACACCGCCUCUGCUCAGUCACUCCUUCACCCGCUCCUGCUGCAGCACCAGUCGCUGCAACCUCCGCCGUCGCUCUUGCAUCCGACCCGACGCCAGCAGCAACGAUCCAGAUCCGGCGCCUGCUGCAGCCACAGCCCGACGCCGCUCCUCUGCCCGCGACCCAAGACCGGACGCCCAGGUCCGACGCCCUGCAGCUCCCUCUCUGAGUGACUCCCGCGACUUCCCUCACCGGAGCAACCCACCACGUUGCUGCUUCGCUUGAAAAAAAGAAAAAGAAAAAGAAAACAAAAAAAGAAAAAUCAAUUUAGGUAAUUUUUCCUUUUAUUUAUCUAUCUUAUUUUAUUAUUUUUGUUAUUUAACUUUAUUUGUUCUUUUUCAGUAUAAUUAUUCCUUAGUGUAAGGAUGAGAUGUUCGACAUGAAAUAGCCUGUGAAAUUUGUGAUUGUCAGUCCGAUUUUCACGCCUAAAAUCCGACUUGCAAUCACUUAAAAAAAAUCGCUAAUCCGAUCUUCCGCCUAAGAUUCAAUUCGCGAUUUAUGUGAAAUUGACCAACUCGAUUUCAUGCGCGAGAUAUAAUUCGUCAAUUUGGAUAUCAUCUUGCUCCGAUUUGUUGUCGUGUCAUUUAAUUAAAUUUGCUUUCAUAAAAAAAAAAUGUAGGUUAGAAUUAGGUUUAUUCCCUAUUUUAGGGUUUACAUAUUUAAAAUAUGAAUUUUAUUUCGAAUUUUUUUUUAAAAAAUAAUAAUAAAUUAAAAAAUCAAAAAUCAAAUCAAUUAAUUUAGGUUGCUAGUUUUUUUUUUUUUUUUUUAAAACUUGGAUUGCAUGUUUAAUUGUUUGGCAAUUAUUAAUUUCGAAAUUAAUAAAACAAAAACGCAACAAAAAAUCAUCAUGCAUAUGUCAUAUAGAAUUAGGGCAUCUUUUGUAUGUCAUUGCAUAUUAGGGUAAAAUUGCUAAUAUUUUUCUUAAUUUAUUAUAAGUUUAGGUAUUUUCUUAGAUAGAUUGCAUUUUAGGAUUGCUUGGGUUAGGAUAAUAUUCUAAUUUAAAUUAGGAUUUGGCUUAACCUAAUUCCUAAUACAAAUUGAAUAGAAUCUUAAUCUAGUUAGAUAAUUUUCACAUUUAAUCUAAUUUCGAAUUUCAUGAAAAAUACAAAAAAAAAGUCUUAGAAUAAAUUGGUUUUAUUCUCUAGGAUAAAUUGCAUUCUCUUUAAGGAAAAAAGAAGAAAAAUAUCAUGUGCAUGCCAUAUAAGAUUAGACUCAUGAGAUGCAUACCAUUUAGUGAUUGUUGCUAGUCCAUUUAAUUAGAAAUUGCAUAUCAUUAGAAUUAGGUCAUUUAGUUAUAUUGCAUUGCAUAUUAUAUGAUUUUCAUUAAAUAAGUGAAAAUAAAGAAAUUGCGUAUUGAUUAGAAAUUAUAUUUAAAACCGUCGAUGUGAAUUUUGAUAUAACAUUGUAGAUGCUUUCGUUGCUAUGAAAUGACUAUUACAAUUUAUUCAUUAUUUAUCUGGGUGUUAAAUUGGUGGUUUGCGCACUCAUAUGAUCACUUCAUAUGUUAAAAAAAUAGAUUUAAAAUCAAUCCAAAUUGCAUGUAAAAACAUUUUUGAAAAUAAAAAGAAGUGGUACCGAAAGGGUAUUAGAGAAUCUAGCAUAAUUAAGUCUCUGAACUCAUAAAUCUCUAAUUCGUAGGAGUGAAGUAAAUCUCCCGUUACUUUAUUUGAAGAUUAAUGGCGACUCCUAACUGAAAUAUCGUUUGUAUGUUAAGAACUUAAACCCAAGUUGCAAAUUGGUAUGGCUUGGGAGAGCUUGAGUUAGGUCUAGGCUUAACAAUUCAUUAGCCAAACCUUAGGUGAUACACACCUGAAAAUUUGGUCGCGACAAAUGGUAACAGCCACCACACAGCAAAGAAGAGCCAAACAACGGCCACCACUAGCAACCAAAGCAAAAAACAAAAGGCAACCGAGGGAUCAAACAGACGCAGCCAGAUCACCCCAAGCACCAAACCAAAAAGGGAAAGGCACAGUUCAAGCGUCCCAGUUGAGAGAAGCCGUGACCGACACGAACCAGGGGAGGAGGAAUCUUCAGUGAAACAGCCAACCCCAAGGACCUCGGCGGUAGCUCAGCACAAGAAUGUCCACCCUAGAAGGGUAUCCAGUUAGAAGGAGAUGGAUGAUGGAACAACCAUUCUCAAGGAUCGAACUCGCCGCUGAAAUAGCAGCUACAUGGAAAUCAGCUUCGUAGAUUUGAUCAAGAAUCACCUAAAGAGAAAACAAUCGGAUCAAUGCCCCAGGCACGCUGGAGUAUCCUGUUCCUCGCGGUACUAUCGACAUUUCUGAAAGUUAGAGCCUUAUCCCGGACAACCCUAAGGAGAUGGUUCUUCAGGGCCGGGAUCGUAGGAGUUAGCUCUCUAAACAAAAUAUCAUUCCUGUUCUUUCAUAUAAUGUGACAGAGGGCUCCAAGGGGUUCAUCCUGAAUUUAUAUACAGGAAUCACAGAUAAAGUUGUUCCUGGACUUUAUGCGGAGACAUUUGAUUCUUGACAUAUUGUGAAAUAUGACAAGUACUUGGAAUACUUCUUUUAUUUGCUCUCUUCUGUGAGAGAUUCAGGAAAUCUACCUCCGUUAACUCAAUACCUUGUGACUUUUUUGUUGCAUUGUGAUGCAUGAUAAUUGAGGGAUCUAGACACAUAAAAAGCUAAUGCCAUGCAUAAUUUUCUGGAUCUUAACAUGUAAGAUCUUUCGUCCAAAAAAAAAAAAAAACAUGUAAGAUCUUGAUUUUGUUGUUUUGUCAUGUGAAUAUGCAUAGAUCGGAGAGCUAAAGAAGCUCGUGGAAGAGGGUAAGAUAAAGUACAUCGGUUUAUCCGAGGCCUCUGCCUCAACAAUCAGAAGAGCACAUGCUGUUCAUCCCAUCACAGCGGUGCAAUUGGAGUGGUCGCUUUGGUCAAGAGAUGUGGAGGCAGAGAUCGUUCCAACGUGCAGGUAGGAUAUCACUCUGUUAAUUGUUUAUGCAGCAACAACAGCUUCCUUCUGACUCUGCUUUUCCUUUAAAAUGUUGACUAGGGAGCUUGGCAUUGGAAUUGUUGCCUACAGUCCUUUAGGACGAGGAUUCUUUUCUGUUGGCUCCAAGUUGGUGGAGAAUAUCUCUAAGGAUGACUUCAGACAGGUCUGUUCCUGCUUGUCAACAUAAUUAGAUGCCAGUAUCGGGCUUUGGCCCUCCGUCCUUUUUCAUUCUCAUCUUUCUUCACAAGAUAAACUAUAUCUUGACACAACCAUUUCUUGAGUAAGGACUCCUAGCACCCUUCUUAUGAGAGUUUUGGCUCAAGUUCCCAUCUGACAUAAAGCCAAUUGUGUAUUACUCCCCGCCAUUAGCGUUUGACUAGCGAUAGUGCUGGGCAAGUGAAGUAGCUAUUUUUUUUUUUUUGUAGCUAAAAGAGCUUUGCGUCUGAUAACGUUCUUCUACACAUCAUCUACAUUUCUGAUUUUUAUUUUAUGUGUGACUCAGGAAAAUGAUAAUUGCUCAUAUGCUCUCUGCUGAGACAUUGCUCUAUGUUAUGCAGUAUCUACCAAGGUUCCGGCCAGAGAACUUGGCUCACAACACGAAGUUAUUUGACCGAGUGAAUGGAAUUGCACAAAGAAAGGGAUGCACCACAUCGCAGUUAGCCCUCGCCUGGGUACACCACCAGGGUGAUGAUGUUUGCCUGAUUCCCGGCACGACCAAGAUCGAGAAUUUCAACUAGAACAUUGGAGCUCUGUCAGUGAAGCUUACACCGGAAGAGAUGGCCGAGCUUGAAUCGAUUGCUUCUGCAGACAGUGUCAAGGGUGGCAGGUACGAUGGAAGCAUGUCUACAUGGGAAAACUCCGACACUCCACCCCUUUCUUAAUAAAAUUAUGUGUUUUUCUAGUAAGGGAUGUUGCGAAAACUUUAUUGUCUUUUGCAUGCGUAAUUAUAACUAUGAGUGUAACUAUGCGUAAUUACAACAUGUGGCGUCACACAAUCCUCAGCACUUGAAUUGGGGUCUAUCAAGGUAGUGCUUGAGUCUAUGAUGCUCAAGCUCUAUUCAAUAGCACUUAGGCUCGGGUCCGCAAAGAUUGUGCAUCAGUCCUCAAUGCUUGAGGUCGGCUCGUUAGUUAAUAAAACGUUUGUUCUUAUAAAAAUAAUUAUUUUUAAAAAAUCUAUUUUUUUAUAUUAUUUGUUUUCUUUCUUUUUAUUUUCCUUCUUCUCGGCUAGUUGCCAACCAUGGCGCCGAUUGCGCCUGAUAACAAGCACCGGAUGAGCUAGCCCAAGGCCAAGAAGACUUGAGAUUGCUGAUUUGGCAAGCUUGAAGCUGGUCAAGUGCAAGCUCGAGUUUCGCCCCGUGGCUAGUCGCCAACUACCACCGUGGCUAGCGUUCGGUCGAGGAAGAAGAAAAAGAAAAAUAAGUAAAAAUCUGAAUAUUUUGUAAUCUUCUAUAGGGAAAUCAAAUAAGAUUUUUCAUAUUAAACGAUAAAAAAUAUUUUCUAGUUUAUUUUUAAGACUUAACCAAAUAUUGAAAAUGACUUUUUGUAAAAUAUUAUUCAAAUAUGUCAUAUUUUUUGCGAAACAAACGGUACAUAAAUUUAAAUUUGAUAAUUGUCCUUGUUAAUUUGGUACACAUUAUCUGUCUCUUUGUUUUGUUGCUGAACUGAUGCUAAUCUCUAGAUGAAGCUUGACUAGUUUCAAUAGGCGGCUUGACUUUUGCGCUUCCUUUUUUUUAAAACCCAAAACACUCAAAACUUUCGUGAUACACGACUUUCGACAUGCAGAGUUACAAUCACUUCAAAUAAUUUAUCUGAAAAUUGUAUAGUGGGCCAUCCGAGAAAGGUGAGGGCAACUUGUCCCCCUAGAAAUUGUCAUGACGUGGAACUCUUGACAUGAAUUGAAGUGACUUUUGUUAAGAGUUAACUAGUCAAGAUCGGGCCACAUCUGUCCAUUCAUGUCCGCCACAUCCGGCCCCUCCAAUCGGACUCCCCGGCGAAAAGAUUCACGGACACGUGGCUGGAUCUAGAAAGUCACGGGUUUGACUUGUCUUUUGUGUCACUAUCAAGAAUGUGCAUGGUCCGGACGGGCGAUUCCCGACCUAGAAUCGGGAACUGCUUGCUAAGGACCGAUUCCAAAACAUUGAAACGGAGAUCCACCAGUUAGUUGAAUGAAUCCACUUGGGAACCAGAUCGCUGAUUCAGUCCGAUUUCUAGGUGGAUCUAUGGAACCGAUCUUGACGCUAAAUAAUUUUAUUUUCAAUAUAGAACGACUACGUGAUUUCCAUAACAACAGCUGGAGAGGUUGUAGAAGGAUAUCAUGGUAGGCACUUACGAUAAUCGUGAGGAAAUGAUAGCAAUUUUGGUUAAACUUGUUUUCUAUCAUGGCUAUCAUGGGUCGAAUAAAAUUUUGCAAGCAAAUUUCGUGUCCUAGGCAUUUUUUUUCUCUUAGGUGUGAUGCUUUAAAAACCCUCUAUGUGAUGCUUAGGAACCUUUGUUUGUGAUGAAGCCUAAAGAUUUAUUCCUUGUUGUGGACUUGUUGUCCUACAUCAAAAUCUCUCAGUCAAACUUUUUUGCUUUGUUUUGGUAAGUCUGUAUAAGGUAUAUUACAGAAGUUGCAUUACGAGAUAUUUCUUCCUUAUUGUCUUUUUAGUUUAACUAAGGCCAAAUUGUUUUGGCAUUUUUCCAAGCAUUUCAUUAUGGAAUGAUGAUAAGAAGCGAUCUUGACUUAAUGCUUUUAGUUAUUUGAUUUGGAUUUAUUAAUUAGUAAUUUCAUUUUUUAAUAUUAAAAAUUAAUAUAUUAUUUUAAUAUAAUCGGUUCGGUCUAGGUGGGCGGGUAGAUAGAUCCGCUCAUGGAACUGGGAACCAGACUGGUACUCACCGGUUCCCAUAAAUUGGAAUCGAGAACCGGACCGGUUCCCUUAAAAACUACCGGUUCUGGGCGGUCCAAGCGGGUUUCGGUUAUUUUGCACAAAGAAUUAAAAAUUCAAUUUUUUUUAAAAAUAUUUUAAAAAGAAUUAUAAAAAUUUUCAUUAAAUUUGUAUUGCAUAAAAAUGUUUUAACAAUACUUUUUUUUAAAUAAAAAAAUCAUAAAAACGAGCUUUUUAAGGGUUAAUUAUUUUUUUUAUGUUAUUGUUUUUAGUUAUUCAAAGGUAUGUUUACUUCAAAUAAGGGAAGCAUGUGCAUAGUUUAAUUCUUUAUAAAUAUUUAAAUGUUUUUUUAAACUUUUCUUAUUUUAUUUUAUUUUCUAUUUUUAAUUUAAUUUGAAGAUUUAAUCUAAUUAGCAUAUAAUAGAAGUGGAUUUUCCUAAAAUAUUAAGAGGUUUUAGCAAUACGAGUUGGAUCGGGUAUGUGUCGGGUAUAUAUGAAUAUGGAUCAGAAUAAGUUAAAUAGAUCAAAUAUGAGUUCAUUCGUUUUCGACCGGACUCAAAUCCGGCUUGAUCCGGUUUCGACCCAACCCAAAUCCGACUCGAUCCACUCAUUUAACGGGUCUAGAUUGAAUUGACGUAAGCACGUGCGUCUUCGUAGCUACUGCCGCUCCCCUCCUAUAAAUCUCGGCUCGCCCGACAUCUUAGCCAUCGUCACGGUGCAGUGCAGGGAACGAGCGAGCUCGAGCUAGACGACGGCAAUGGCAGCGUCGACGACGACGGUGGGGAGGAUCAAGCUGGGGUCGCAGGGCAUGGAGGUGUCGGCGCAGGGGCUGGGCUGCAUGGGCAUGUCCAUCGGCUACGGCCCUCCCAAGCCCGACCCCGACAUGAUCGCCCUCAUCCACCACGCCGUCGGCUCCGGCGUCACCUUCCUCGACACCUCCGACAUCUACGGCCCCCACACCAACGAAAUCCUCCUCGGAAAGGUCGGUUCUCUCAGUCUCUCUUUUGCCUCCGCAUGAAUCAUACGUGCUUAUAGUGUUACGGAAUUCAGCUUCAUCGAGCAGGAUGCUCCGAUCCUGCGCCUUGGUUUUCUGAUUUCGGGGUUGAUUUUGAGCAGGCACUGAAGGGAGGGGUGAGGCAGAAGGUGGAAUUGGCGACCAAGUUCGGAGUCAGCUUCGCGGACGGGAAGAGGGAGAUCCGGGGCGAUCCGGCGUACGUGAGGGCUGCUUGCGAGGCCAGCUUGAGGCGGCUCCACAUCGAUUGCAUUGACCUCUACUACCAACAUCGCAUCGACACUCGCGUCCCCAUCGAAGUCACUGUAUGGAUCCCACAUCAAACCUUUACCUCUCUCGGGACUUUCUCCGAGUGAUCAGUUGCUAAAUUAGAAUGGUGUUGAUGAUGCAUCAUCAUCAAGAUAUCGUUAAAUGUGACUUGAGUUCAGAUGAUAGCAGAGUUCAAGAUGUGGCACGGUGUUGUUCAAGGGAUUGCGGAAUUUAGUAGUUUAUAUGGCUUGAGUUUUUGUUUUAUGGGUCAACAAGCAUGAAAAUUAUUCGAAAUCCAGGGUUCACCCUGAUUUAUAUCUGAGAAUCACAUUUGAAGUUGUUCCUGGACUUUCUGCGCAGACAUUUGGUUCUUGACUUGUCAUUGUGAAAUAUGACAAGUACUUGGAAUACUUCUUUAAUUUGCCUUCUUCUGUGAUAGAUUAGAGAGAUCCAUUUCCGUUAACGAUACCUUGCCAUUUUCUUGUUGCAUUGAGAUGCAUAAAGAUUGACUAUUUUUUGCUAGGAGCUACCUAAUCAAAUUGUAAUGUUUGAGAAGUCAGGGAACACAAACUAUUCAGGCAUCAGGACACAAGAAAAACUAAUGAUGUUCAAUAACUUCUGGAUCUUAACACGUAAGAUUUUGACGAUUGUUGUUUUGUCAUGUGAAUAUGCACAGGUUGGAGAGCUAAAGAAGCUCGUUGAAGAGGGUAAGAUAAAGUACAUCGGUUUAUCCGAGGCCUCUGCAUCAACAAUCAGAAGAGCACAUGCUGUUCAUCCCAUCACAGCAGUGCAAUUGGAGUGGUCGCUUUGGUCAAGAGAUGUGGAGGCAGAGAUCAUUCCCACGUGCAGGUAGGAUAUCACUGUUUAUUUGUUUAUGCAGUAACAACAUCUUUCUUCUGACUCUGCUCUUCCUUAAAAUGUUGACUAGGGAGCUUGGCAUUGGAAUUGUUGCCUACAGUCCUCUUGGACGAGGAUUCUUUUCUGUUGGCUCCAAGUUGGUGGAGAAUCUCUCUAAGGAUGACUUCAGACAGGUCUGUUUCUGCUGGUUAACAUAAUUAGAUGCUCACAGUUACUGUCAUUCCCAUUGAAGUGCUGGAAACCUGUUCUUAUUCUAUAAAGAAAAAGUUUGUGACACGAAUGCUUCAUAUUCUUAUUCGAUCCAGCACUUGCCAGUCAUCCCACCUCUCGUGAUUCUAGAUAAAUUUAAAAAUCACAAGUAAUGGCUUUAAUGAGCCUGAAAGGGGCAGUUUUCUGGAUUCUCGUGCUUUUGGGAAUGAACAAAUAUAGGUUUAUUUGUAAGUUGCUCCGUUUCCCAGCUUUCCCACCAUUUGCUUAUCACUAUCCUUUCCCCACUUUCCACCCGCCCUUUUUCUCUCAUAUCUCUUCACAAGAUUAGCAAUAUUUGCUCAAAAUAACCGAGACCAGUAUCGGGCCUUGGCCUCCGUCCUUUUUGUUUCUCAUCUUUCUUCACAAGAUAAAUUAUAUCUUGACACAACCAUUUCUUGAGCGAGGACUCCCUAACACCCUUCUUAUGAGAGUGUUGGGAUCAAGUUCCCAUCUGACAUAAAGCCAAUUGUGUAUUACUCCUGGCCAUUAGUGUUUGAGUAGCGAUAGUGCUGGGCAAGUGAAGUAGCUAUUUUUCUUUGUAGCUAAAUGAGCUUUGCGUCUGAUAACAUUCUUCUACACGUCAUCUACCUUUUGUGAUUUUUUUUUCUUAUGUGUGACUAAUGUUACCAUCACACGUACAAAACUUAGAUUGUCUAGUUUGUUUCUGUUUUCACUUCCUACAUCAAACCCAUCAGCCUUGUGUGGUAGUUGCUAGAUCACUUCGCUCGACGUUUCUAGUUCUUAUGAUUUGGGGCUAGGUAUUUUAAUCAUUUCAAGAUAAUCAUAACUGAUCAUGCUUUUCCAGGUACACAACAAUUGUGCACUUCUAAAUGCUUAUUAGGUCAAGUAACAAGGCAAUCUGUUGGCAUGCAAUGCGAUCACUUUUGCACCUUGCUGCUGUAGAAUUUGGCCUUAAAAGGAAAAUGAUAGUUGCUCAUAUGCUUUCUGCUGAGACAUUGCUCUAUGUUAUGCAGAACCAACCAAGGUUCCAGCCAGAGAACUUGGCUCACAACAUGAAGUUAUUUGACCGAGUGAAUGAAAUUGCGCAAAGAAAGGGAUGCACCACAUCGCAGUUAGCCCUUGCCUGGGUACACUACCAGGGUGAUGAUGUUUGCCCGAUUCCCGGCACGACCAAGAUCGAGAAUUUCAACCAGAACAUUGGAGCUCUGUCAGUGAAGCUUACACCGGAAGAGAUGGCUGAGCUCGAAUCAAUUGCUUCUGCAGACAAUGUCAAGGGUGGCAGGUACAAUGGAAACCUCUCUCCAUGGGAAAACUCCGACACUCCACCCCUUUCUUCUUGGAAACCUGCCUAGAAACAUGUCUACUUCUGUUGCUGCGUCUUUGAUAUGCAGAGUUUGUGCAUUUGCCGCUGAAGUAAUUUGAGGCUAUGUUGUGUGGCUGUUAUAAGUACGUGUAAUAAGAGAGUGACUGUUUUCGUUUUGUACAUGUGACAUUCACUAUGAGAAGAUUAUGGAUAUGUUCUAAGCUUACUGGGGAAAGAUCACCCGCUAACACGAGAGCAAGUUUUUUAUGAACCGAGCUUGCCGUGCCGACUUUAUCGGGGUGACUUUUAGAAUAUGAGAAAUUGGGAUUUUGAAGAAUUCAAACUCAGUCAUACAUACUAGAGUGAUGCUUUAUUCUCCUCCAACUAGUCUUGGUCCAGUUUCCAGAGAGAUUAGGUCGAUCCUUGGUCCUAGAAUUUCAGGACUAGCACUGUGCGGGUCGAUUCUUAGUCCUAAGAGUUCUAGGUCGGUCCAAUCCAAACCAACCUUAUAUAUAUAUAUAUAUAUUAUUUAUAAUUUUUUUAUAUAGAGAAAACCUUAAAACAAACGGCGUCAAUAACAUUAAAGAGUUAUUUAGUAAAGAGUUCAAGUAAUUUUACAUUGUUCUUUAAUAUUUUAGAUUUUUAAUGUCUUUUACGAUAUUAAUAGUCAUAAUUUACGAAGGAGGAAAUUGUUUUUGUAAGGAGUCCUCAUGAUAUCUAAAAAGGUAUAAAUGGCAUCAUUCUUUAGUAUUCGUUCUCUUUGGUUUUAUUCGUUCUCUUAAUUAUCAAUUUGCCAAAAUUGAAAGAAGCAAUCGCUCACUUUGGGUCACUCCUGCCGCUCGCCGCUUAAUGCUCGCUUGGCUUGUUGCUCCAUGCUCGAUAUUCGAUAUUUAUUCUGUUCGACGCUCACCCCACUUGACUCUCGUUGCUUGCCUUUUUUAGUUGACCUUGCUCAUCAUCGAAUCCAUUAGGUCAAUAUGGUCCUCAGUUGCUUUUUCAAGGAUUACAAAAAAUGAAAUAAAAAAUUAUUAAUUAGUCCUAAGUUGACCUUGAAACCAGACCGAACCCAUUGGGUCCGUUUGAUCUUCAAUCGCUUUUUUAAGGUGUACAAAAAAUGAAAUAAAAAAUUAUUGGUUGGUCCCGGGUUGACCCUAGAACUGGACCGAACCCAUUGGAUCAGUUCGGUCAUUGGUCCUAAGCUUAAUAGGGUUGGUUCUCGGUCCAAAAAACUGAGGACCAGCAUUGUGUGAGUUGGUCAUAGGGUUAGGGGGUGAACCGGCCCAACCUGGACCAUACUCACUCCUACCUCUAACCAUGAGUUCAAUACUAGCACCAUGUGCAACAUACUCUUAGGACUGGAUGCUACACAUAGAUACAACGCUUCGCUUUGUGUUUGGUUUCGUAGCGAAGUAAAGGAACAGUAAAAUGCUAUUGGAUGUUCUCGCGAAAAUGAAGUUUGGGAUAAAAUGUUGGCGCGGUUGAUAUGAGUGUCGAGGAAAUCGAAGGUUUCUUGUUCAAGUUUAACCACCUACGGUUCAUGAGCUUUUAUGUAGCUCAAUACCUUCGCUCAUGCCUCUGCAUUAUUAUAAAACAGUCGGAGAUAUUGCGCAAGUUUCCUAAAAUUAAAAACAACAAUUCUAUUGUUUUUUAUUUGGAGUUAGAGUGGAGCAAUGUCGUUUUGUUUUGAUUUAGGAAAAUAACGCAAAUAGUCAUUGAACUUUGGUCCAAUGUGUUAUGUUCUUAUUGAACUUUUAAUUUAUUUAGUAUGACUGUCGAACUUUUUAUACAUGUUUAAUUUAGAUCCUAGGCUAGAUAAAUCCAACGAUGCUGUGUUUGGUCGUUCGAACAUCUUUGCUGUAUGGGAUAAUGAAUGGAUGAAAAUCCCAUCUAAUAUUUCUUGACGUCUGGAUAUAGCAUGAUUCAAAAUAAAUCUUUUUUUUUUUAAAUGAGUGUUUGAUUUGUAUAAUUAAAAUUAAAAAUAAACCAUGGAAGUCGUGAAUAGUAUUCAUCCUUUCACAAUCUUCAUCGAUAUUAAACACCCCCGUUCCAUGUGACUUCAAGGACGCUCUCUCCUUCUGCAACGCCCCUUUCGCUGCCCUUGAUCAACUUGAUGGAUUACGCUCGCUCUACCUUUGACUUCGCCACAUUGAGAGGCCCUUGGGUUUGAGUUCUCCGCUGGUCUAGCCAUCUUUACUUCGAAUGCCUUUUCCUGCGAUGAAUCCAUCCCCUUCGACGAGUGCGAAUACUGCGUUGAUUCCCUGUUACCGUGCCCCGACUUGUUCAGUCGCUUCAACAGCUUCCCCCGAGACAGCGUGCGGAUCCGGUUUAUGAGUGGUAGCACCAUCGGUGCUACUCGCUCCGAGUGACGUGGUUGAAGAGCUCUAUCACCUUGGCUGCCGCCUCUUUCGGAUCAUCUUCUUCACAGAGAAGAUGUCCAGCUUUGAUCGGGAUCACAAAGUUCCCUACUAAAAUGGAGUUAAGUGACAUAAGAAAGAGGCAGGGCUGACGAGCUCCGACGCCACUUUUCCGAGGCAGCCAAAGGUGGUAAGCAGCUUGUCACUGGUAGGAGGAACGGUGGCCCUUAGACUUUGCUCAGGUCGUUGUGGCGAGGGCUUCUCUAGGUAUCUUCGCGAUACUCAUGCUCUAAGUUUGUGGUGGUCAUUUUAGUGAGAGAAAUUGAAACAAGAGAGAUGAUGCGGCACCGGUCAAAAGUGAGGAUAAGCCAUCAACAAGCGCAGGAGUGGGGGAAAAACUUGUAUCCCUUAUUUUUUUCAAUUUUCCAAAUUUCACAUAUCCUAUUUGGAUCUAUAUCACUUUCUAGAUGAGAUUUUUUAUCCGGACUAUAUCCAAAUUUCACGUUACUCUAAACACCGGAUAUGAUCAAACUUAUCAUAUCAGAGUUUUAUUCGGCCCAUCAAAGACAGACUUAUGAGAUAGAAUGCAAUGAUAUAAUCUAUGAAUUAGAUUAAACAUUUAUUAAAAGUUUAAGAAUAAUAUUUCACAUUUUGAUUGUUAGGAUGCACGAGUGAGUUAUGUUAAAACAAUCCCACAAUAUAUUGAUAGCUUUGUAAUAAGGCUUUCUCUUGGUGAUGACAUAGAUCCAUAUGGAGAAAUUAAUGGGAGGGUUUAUUUGGCCUAACUAAAUGGGAGGCUAUAUCAAUCGGAGCUUUUUCAUUGUAACAUUCCCUUGUGCUUGGUAUUUGUAUUUUAGUAAAAGGAUUUUGCUAGCAUAAUAAUCUUUGGGUUAUCAUGAGAAUAACAAUUUAUUAUGAUUUACAAAAUUUUAAAAUAGUAAACCUCAAUUCAAUUUUAAACUUUUUUUUUUCUAACUAAUUCAAUCCUAAAUAUUUUGCAUUUGUGACAAUUUAGUCUAUUCGGCCAUUUUUCGCCAAGAGGCAUUGAUGUGAACUUUGGCUGAUCGACCAAUGCUGACAUGGACAAUUUUUUUAAUAAUAUUUUAUUUUUCUUAUUUUUUAUUAAUUUUUUCUUUCUUUUUUUCUUCACUUCCUUCUCCUUCCUCCAGCCAGUCGGCAAGAGGCAAGGUUGGUGAGGGACCUUGCUGGCCUUGAGGAAGCUUGGCCAUGGUUGGGCAACCUUGCUCGUGGCUAGGCGACCUCGCCGAGGCCGCCGAUUGGGCUGGCGAGGGUUGACCCUCGUUGGCCAUAGGUCAGGACAAAGGCUGCUAGUUGGGCUUGCCCUUAUUGAAUCUGGUGAGGGUUGAGUCUCAUUGGCCAUGGGCAAGGUCAAAGGCCGCGACCUCUCGUGGUCUCUGGCGAGGCUUGCCAAAGGUUGAGCAAGGCUUACCCUCAUUGGACUGACGAGGGUUGAGCCUCGUCAGCCAAGAGCGAGAUCGUAACUUGCCCAUGGCCGGUGAGGCUCGCCUAGGCCAAAGACAGGCGGGGCCUUGCCUAACCAUGGCAAGGGUGGCCUCACCAUUGUUGGGUGAGGCUAGCCCUUGCCAGUGGCGUGUGGGGGUAAGCCUUGCCAUUGGUUGGCAAGGCUGACUUCACUGGCUUGAAUAAAAUAAAAUAUUAUUAAAAGAUUAUUCACAUCAAUAUUAGCCGAACGAGUGGUGCUCGUCGGCCAAAAUUGGCCGGAUGAAUUGAAUUAGUAUAAUUGCAAAAUGUUUAGGACUGAAUUGGCUAGAAAAAAAAAAGAUUUUAAGACUAAAUUAGAAAAAUUGCAAUAAGUUUAUGAUUGUUUUGGUAAUUUUUUCGUAUAAUAACCCUAGUAAAGAUGACUCACUUAAUUUGAGCGUCAAUAAAUCAAAGGUCACUUGUUUAGUUCUCACAACUUAUUUGUAAAUCACUUUAGAAGUGCAAAUCCAAUCAAUUUAUGAGCUUGCAAAAUGAGUCUCUAGAUAAACCAACUUUUGUAUUCGUGCUUCAGGAUUAUAAUAAAAUAUUAGAGGUUUUCAUCAGUGUAUCAUGAUAGGCUAGAUAGGGCGUUUUCUUUUGCACUUGUCAUACAUGAUCAUUUUGUAUCCUUUGAACUCAUGUUAUUUGUUGGUACUAGGUUGAGUGGUAAUAUGAUCUCCUACCUUAUACUUAGAUAUUUCAUUUAUUAGGCUUCGCCUCACUCCUUUUUUUCUUUUUUUUUCUUUUUUGUUGUAGGAUGAUUCCCCUAAAGAUGGUGACGGAGGGGCCGAGUUGAUAUCGGAAGCCAUUAAUCCUUGAGUUGGAUGGUAGUUUAGUUAGUAUGGAUGUAAUGGUAUUAGGUGACCCCGAUCUUUCCUAGGACUAUAAAAUUUUUUGUGAUAAUUACUAUCGAUAUUGUAUAAAGCCAAAGACACUUUUUUUUUUAAUAAACUCAUGCAUUUUUCUAGUAAAGGAUGUUGUGAAAACUUUAUUGUCUUUUCCAUGCGUAAUUAUAACUAUGAGUAUAAAUGGAAAUGACAUGUGCCGCAUGUGAUGUUCCAAGGCGUCACAUAAUCCCCAACACUCAAAUUAGGGUCCAUUAAGGCAGUGCUUAAAACUAUGAUGCUCAAGUUCUAUUCGGCAGCACUUAGGCUCGGGUCCAACAAGAUCGUGUGUCAGUCCUCAAUGCUCGGGCUCGGCUCGUUAGUUAAUAAAAUGUUGUUCUUAUAAAAAUAAUUCUUUUUAUUUUCAUUUUAUAUUCAUUUGUUUUCUUUCUUUUUCUUUCUCCUUCUUCUUGGCUGGUUGCCGACCAUGAUGACGAUUGCGCCUGAGAACAAGCGAGAGAUGAGCUAGCCCAAGGCCAAGAAGACUUGAGAUUGCUGAUUUGGCAAGCUUGAAGUUGGUUGAUCAAGUGACGCUAAAGCUCCCUAGCGUUGGGCAACCUCGAGUUUCACCUCAUGGCUAGUCGCCAACUACCACCGUGGCGAGCGAUCGGUUGAGGAAGAAGAAAAAUAAAAAUAAAAUUAAAAGAGAAAAUAACUAAAAAUCUGAAUAUUUUGGCAUUUUCUAUAGGGAAAUCAAAUCGAAAAAAUAUUUUCUAGUUUAUCUUUAGGACUUAACCAAAUAUUGGAAAUAUUAUUCAGAUAUGUCAUAUUUUUUGCGAAACAAACGGUGCGUAAAUAUUUAGAUUUGAUAAUUGUCCAUGUUAAUUAGGUACACAUUAUCUCACUCUUUGUUUCGUUGCCGAACUGAUGCUAAUCUCUAGACGAAGCUUGACUAGUCUCAACUCAAUAGGCGGCUUGACUUUUGCGCUUCCUUUUCUUCUUUUCUUUUUUCUUUUUAACUCAAAACACUCAAAACUUUCCUGGUACACGACUGUCGUCGUGUUACAAUCACUUUCAAUAAUGAUGGCCAUCCGAGCAAGAUGAGGGCGACUGGUCCCCCUAGAAAUUGUCAUGACGUUUGACUUUCAUGAAUUGAAAUGACUUUUCUCUGUCAAGGAGAAAAAUAGUUAACUAGUCAAGAUCGUGCCACAUCUCUCCAUCCAUGUCCUCCACAUCCGGCCCCACCAAUCGGACUCCCCGACAAAAAAAAUCGAGGACACGUGGCUGGAUCUAGAAAGUCACAGGUUCGACUUGUCUACUGUUAUCACUGUCCUUUUGCAAUAAUUUUUUUACACCCGUCUAGCUGUUGUGAGCUCCUCUGACAUACUAAUUGUGUGGAUAUGGUGAACUUGGGACCUUCUAUAAUCUGUCCAUAUUAAAAAUUUAAAAUGGACAAAUUCCGCCUCUCAUUGUGGAAUUCCACCCACAUUUCUCGCAAACUUUCAAACAUUAGUUCCAGGUCGUGCAUUCCAAUUGAGCCUUGUCUGGUCAAAUAUCAAAGUACUCUAGAGAAAAAUUUUAAAAAAAAUUGUAAAAAAGAGAGAGAAGGAAAACGAUUCAGCCUUAUAAUAACUUGCUAGGAACCACGUAGUUAAUUAGAGCAUCAAGAAAUUAGAGGUAGCUUGUGUAGUUCUCGCAAGUUACUUGUAAAUUGCUUUAGAAGUACAAACUUAAUUGAUUUAUGAGCUUGCACCAUAUUUUAUGAGUUUCUGAAUAACCAACUUUUGUAUUCAUGCAACUCACUCCGCUGUGACUGAGUUGGUUCGGACGUUCCCUCCUCUUCCAAUUGGGGGGAGGUUUGAGUCACCACGAUUGCAUUUGCGCAACUUAAGUGCGGCGCCAUGAGAGGUGGGUCCCCGUGCUAGCGUCACCGUGGGUUUACGUCGCCAGCUGCCGGUUGUACGGCGAUUCUCAAGUCAUAAAAAAAAAAGAAAAAAGAAAAUUUGUAUUCAUGCUUGUAGAUUAUAAUAAAAUAAUUGGUUGUGGUGGGCAAUUGAGAGUGACACCGUUUUCGCCUUUUAUUUUUUGUAAUAUGUGAAGUGUUGUUCUGUUUUUUGUUUUCGUCACCCUCCCACUUGUGCUAUAUUUGUUAGGUCUCCUCGCCAGGAGUUCGUCACUUUAUGUUAUUGACCUCUUAAUUAAAUACAACAAUACCUUCAAGGACUGCUCUUCAUAAAGGCGCGGAUUGGACGGCCGGUGACCGAGAUAGCAGCCUCCGCCCCUCCCUCGGUCUUGCCCUUUGCAUAACUUUUAGAAAACAUGCGUGAUUAGAGGAUCAAUAGUGACUUAAUUCUAACCCGUAUCGAUGUUACCCGUUUAGCAUCUCUUAGUAAAUGUAAAUAUUGUACGCGGAUGACAGCAUUUUGAAGAAUUUACAAUUGGUGUUCUUUUAUUAAAUAUGGUUGAUAUCAUGAAAAAUCUUAGAUUGAUACAUUUGCGACAAACUUAUCCCAAACUAUUUUUUUUACACAAAAACCGUAAACUAGUAUAUUUGUAAUUUUACCUAAAACUAUUUUUUUUUAUCGUCAAAAACCUCAAACUGAUAUAUUUGUAGCAAAAUUACUCUUUACUAACUAGUGUUAAAUUAUACUAAUAUGAAUUGGUACAUCUAUGACAAACGAAGGGUAAAAUCCUAAAUUGGUACACUCAUUAACUAUCAUAUGUCAUUUAACUCAGUAAUUUAAUAGUACAAUUUAAGGGAAAUUAACGGAGGGUCAAUUUGUCAUAGGUGUAUCGGUAUGAGAUUUUUGAUAGCAAAUGUAGGAGUUUUACAUGGUAUUAAACUCUAUUGCAUAUGAUCAAAAGUCCUAGUUUCUACUAUUUUUGUCGACACAAUACCUUAAAAAACCUCAAACUUAAGCUCUGAUCCUAAUUCUAUCUUUUGUGUUAUAAGACCUCCAACUUUAGAUCAUGUCCCAAUUCCACCCUAACAUACAUAUUUUAGAAAACCCCAUAUUUUAGUUAUAGUCCCAAUCUUAUCUAAACAUCUGUUAUCUCAUAAAAUCCCUCAAAUUUAGGUCAAGUACCAAUUCCAACCUAAACGUUAUUUUGUCUUAUAAAAAGAAUCCUAGCUUUAGGUCCAAUUUCAUUUUCACUUUUUUUUUUUAUCUCAUAAAAGAUUACCAACUUUUACUUGAGUCCCAAAUCCACUCUCCAUUAACCCUCCAUCAAAAUUGCCCUUAGUGAUUUUGUGCUCGGUUUUUGAUCUCGCGUGCUUGGAAAUAUUUCAUUUCUCUUGAACAACUUGUGCUUGAGGGUUUUCCAUCUCUCGAUGUCAGCAGGAAAUUUUGCACGAAGGGUUAAUGGUGGCAAAUAUGCGACUCAAGUAAAAAUUUAUAGUUUUUUCAUCAGACUAUAAAAAUUUUACGGUAAUAUUGAGAGUGGAUAGGCUUUUCAUAAGACAAGAAAAGGUUUAAGGUAGAAUUAGUAUAUUAUUUAAAAUUGAAUUGUGAAUGGCUAUAAAAUUAGUGAUUUUUUUUAUGAGAUAAAAGGUAAAAUUAGGAGAAAAGCUAAAGUUAGAGAGUUUUUUUUAGGGUAUCAAACCUAUUUUUGUCAAUCAUAUGAUGUCAACAUUAUCUUUGUUUUUGUUUUUCUUUCAAUUGUCCAUUUGGUCGGUUCUUUUCUAUUCUUAUUCUCAAACUUUUGCCUUGACUCAUUACAAGUGUGAGAAUUGAAACCACAUUUGAUACUAUAUUGUCCCCCGGUAGGCAUUCAAAACCCCCAUCUCCCGCUUCUCAUGUAAGUUAUGAAUGGAGCCUUCGUGUCGUGUCCGACACGCUCGAAGAUGCGGUCAAUACGUGUUCGAAAUCCGACACGUGAACAAUUCUUAUUGACACAUUCUAACACACAAGUCCGAGAGAGAGGAUCGUUGAAGAAAACAAUGGCAAGGGAGCGAAGGCAACGGCAAGGCCACGACGGUGAGAGAGGGCUAGAGGAAGAGUAGAGACCGAGAUGACCUAAAGAGAGGAUCGUGACUGCAAUGGAGGGCCGGUGGCGAGACUGCACCUAUGUAGGAGGAAGGGUUGGAGGUGAGGCGGCAAGCGAUUAUGACAAGGCAAUCAAGAGAGAGAAGAGAUUGAGAGGUGGAUGGUCGUGCGAGGAGGAGGGGAAGGCCAGGGCUAGGGUUUUUGAAGGGGGAAAAUCAAAAAAUUAAAAACAUGAUUUUGAUGGGACAUUAGGGUUGUGCAAGGAGGAGGGGAAGGCCAGGGCUAGGGUUUUUGAAGGGGAAAACUCAAAAAAAUUAAAAACAUGAUUUUGAUGGGACAUUGCUGUGAUUUCUCCUUUAUGGAGAGGGGGAGCGUGUCGGGAGGUGGAGGGGGAGGGCAGAUAAAUGAGGGAAAGAUGAGUGAAAUAAGUUUGUUGGGGGCACAAAAGGAGGGGUUGGUAGGACCUGAGCAAGUCCUUAGACUGCUCCGUCUGGUCGGAAAUAGCCCACGGACGUAAAAUGUGGGCAAUGUUAAUCGUGGGAGAUCAGACCACCCUGUGUAAGGAUCUCCUGGCUCAGAUUCCCGCGAUGCCUUUCUCCUAACAUAUUAGGCUGGGUACAGGAAAAUGAUGAGUGAAAUAAGUUUGUUGGGGGGGGGGGGCACAAAAGGAGGGGUUGGUAAGGGUUGGCAUGGACCCCAUGGAUUUUUAUUUUUUUUUAAUCAAAAAAAUAAAUAAGGAAGGCCAGAAAGUGGGGGAAGAAACUAUGGAAAGAGAGUGAAGUAAAUGUGGGGGUGAGGGUUGGGGUGGACCACGGGGGUCUUUUCUUAUCAGAAAAAUAAAUAAGAAAAACUAUAAGGUGAUUUCGGAAAAUGAAAGUGUUGAAUGUUGAAUAAUAAUAAAAUUUGAUAAUUGUAAAAGAUUAUAGAUUUAUUUAAAUAAGUUAAUUCUAAUUUUUCUUAAUCAUUAGUUUUAUCAAUAAUUUUUGUUAGAGUUAGAAAUAUGUUCGUAUGGAUGCUAUAUGGCAUAUGGAAAGGGUGGCCUCACUUCUGGCGUUUCAUGUAUGGAAAGAGUGAUUAUUAAUGGCGCAUUUGGUAACGUUUUUGUUUCGGAGGACAAUUUUUGAAUAGAAAUAGUUUUUUUUUUUGUUCUAGGGAAUAAUUUUUGAGUAUAAGAAUGUGUUUGGUAACUGCAAACAAUUUCUACUCUAAAAAUAGAAACGCGCUUGGUAAACUUGUAUAAUUUCUUUGUUUCUUUUAAUUUUUUAAUAUUUUUAAUAUUUUUUUUCUUUUUUUCUUUUUUCUUUUUCUCUUUGGUCGGUUGCUGGCUAUGGCGAUGUCCGUUGAGCCUUGUCCAGGCAACGCGAGGUUCGCCUCGUGCCGAUUGGGGAGGUCAAGGCCUCUUGGCUUUGUCUGGGCUAAGCGAGGUUGACCUUGCCCAGCCACCGGCGAGACUCGGCCUCGCUGGGCCACCGCUAGGCGACUCUGUCCUGGAGGUGGCUCGGCGAGGUCGAGCCUCAUGCGGCCAUGGCGAGGCUCGGCCUCUCUGGGGGCUAGCGACACUCCGGCGAGGUCGUCGGCUCUCGUCUAGCCAGUUGCCGGUGUCAACUAUGGCUAAGGCUGAUGACNNNNNNNNNNNNNNNNNNNNNNNNNNNNNNNNNNNNNNNNNNNNNNNNNNNNNNNNNNNNNNNNNNNNNNNNNNNNNNNNNNNNNNNNNNNNNNNNNNNNCGUCUGGUCGAAAACAGCCCAUGGACGUAAAAUGUGGGCAAUGUUAAUCGCGGGAGAUCGGACCACCCUGUGUAAGGAUCUCUCGGUUCAGAUUCCCGCGAUGCCCUUCUCCUAACGUAUUAGACUGGGUACAGGAAAAUGACGAGUGAAAUAAGUUUGCUGGGGGCACAAAAGGAGGGGUUGGUAAGGGUUGGCAUGGACCCCAUGGACUUUUAUUUUUUUAUCAGAAAAAUAAAUAAGGAAGGCUAGAAAGUGGGGGAAGAAACUAUGGAAAGAGAGUGAAGUAAAUGUGGGGGUGAGGGUUGGGGUGGACCACGGGGGUCUUUUCUUAUCAGAAAAAUAAAUAAGAAAAACUAUAAGGUGAUUUCGGAAAAUGAAAGUGUUGAAUGUUGAAUAAUAAUAAAAUUUGAUAAUUGUAAAAGAUUAUAGAUUUAUUUAAAUAAGUUAAUUCUAAUUUUUCUUAAUCAUUAGUUUUAUCAAUAAUUUUUGUUAGAGUUAGAAAUAUGUUCGUAUGGAUGCUAUAUGGCAUAUGGAAAGGGUGGCCUCACUUCUGGCGUUUCAUGUAUGGAAAGAGUGAUUAUUAAUGGCGCAUUUGGUAACGUUUUUGUUUCGGAGGACAAUUUUUGAAUAGAAAUAGUUUUUUUUUUUGUUCUAGGGAAUAAUUUUUGAGUAUAAGAAUGUGUUUGGUAACUGCAAACAAUUUCUACUCUAAAAAUAGAAACGCGCUUGGUAAACUUGUAUAAUUUCUUUGUUUCUUUUAAUUUUUUAAUAUUUUUAAUAUUUUUUUUCUUUUUUUCUUUUUUCUUUUUCUCUUUGGUCGGUUGCUGGCUAUGGCGAUGUCCGUUGAGCCUUGUCCAGGCAACGCGAGGUUCGCCUCGUGCCGAUUGGGGAGGUCAAGGCCUCUUGGCUUUGUCUGGGCUAAGCGAGGUUGACCUUGCCCAGCCACCGGCGAGACUCGGCCUCGCUGGGCCACCGCUAGGCGACUCUGUCCUGGAGGUGGCUCGGCGAGGUCGAGCCUCAUGCGGCCAUGGCGAGGCUCGGCCUCUCUGGGGGCUAGCGACACUCCGGCGAGGUCGUCGGCUCUCGUCUAGCCAGUUGCCGGUGUCAACUAUGGCUAAGGCUGAUGACUGGCAAAAGGAAGAAGAAGAAGAAGAAGAAGAAGAAAAGAAAGAGAAAAUAGAAGAAGAAAAAUGAUAAGAAAAAAAAGUGUUUUUCGAAAGUGUUCUCGAGAAUAAGAAAUAAGUUUUUUUUUUUAAUUUCUUAUUUUUGUUCCAAAGUUGCUCUCACAAUAAAAAAAAAAGACCAGAAUAAAAGUAUAAACAAAUGAGUUUCUAUUCUUUUUUGGUUCUCUGGAACAAAAUAAUAAAAAUUUAUAUUCCAGGAAAAAAAAAUAAUUUUAAACGAACACACCCUAAGAUAUCUUUUGUAUUCCGGGGAAGUAGUUCAAUUGACGUGAGCCCGUGCGUCUUCCCUACAUGGGAAGGGUCGUCACUGGGUCUCAUCUGACCUAAGCAAGUGCGUCUUCACAGCUUUUACCGCUCCCCUCCUACACUUCGUAGCUACCGCCACUCCCCUCCUAUAAAUCUCGGCUCGCCCGACGCCUUCGCCAUCGUCUCGGUGCAGUGCAGGGAACGAGCGAGCUCGAGCUAGACGACGGCAAUGGCGGCUUCGACGACGACGGUGAGGAGGAUCAAGCUGGGGUCGCAGGGCCUCGAGGUGUCGGUGCAGGGGCUGGGCUGCAUGGGCAUGUCCGCCUUCUACGGCCCUCCCAAGUCCGACACCGACAUGAUCGCCCUGAUCCACCACGCCGUUGGCUCCGGCGUCACCUUCCUCGACACCUCCGACAUCUACGGCCCCCACACCAACGAAACCCUCCUCGGAAAGGUCGGUUCUCUCUCAGUCUCUGUUUUGCCUCCGCAUGAAUUAUAUGUGCUUAUAGUGUUACGGAAUUUAGCUUCAUCGAGCAGAGUGCUCUGAUCCUGCGCCUUGGUUUUCUGAUUUCGGGGUUGAUUUUGAGCAGGCACUGAAGGGAGGGGUGAGGCAGAAGGUGGAAUUGGCGACCAAGUUCGGAAUCAGCUUCGCGGACGGGAAGAGGGAGGUCCGGGGCGAUCCGGCGUACGUGAGGGCGGCUUGCGAGGCCAGCUUGAAGCGGCUUGACAUCGAUUGCAUCGACCUCUACUACCAACAUCGCAUCGACACUCGCGUCCCCAUCGAAGUCACUGUAUGGAUCCCCCAUCAAACUUUCACCUCGCUUGAGACUUUCUCCGAGCCAUAUGAUUAGUUGCUAAGUUAGAUUGGUGUUGAUGAUGCAUCGUCAUGUUGUUACAAGUUUGUUGAAAUUUGUUAAAUGACACUUAAGUUCGGCUGAUAGCAGAGUUCAAGAUGCGGCACGUUGUUGUUCAAGGGGUUGUGGAAUUUAGUAGUUUAGUGGCUUGAGUUUUCGUUUUGUGGGCAUCUUUUACAAGUUAAGGGUCAACAAGCAUGAAAAUUAUUCAAAAUCUUCCUUUGAGAUGAAAGUGCUCCAGGGUUCAUCCAGAAUUUAUAUACGGGAAUCACAUAUAAAGUUGUUCCUGGACUUUAUGUGGAGACAUUUGAUUCUUGACAUAUUGUGAAAUAUGACAAGUACUUGGAAUACUUCUUUUAUUUGCUCUCUUCUGUGAGAGAUUCAAGAAAUCAACCUCCGUUAACUCAAUACCUUGUGACUUUUUUGUCGCAUUGAGAUGCAUGAUAAUAGAGGGAUCUAGACGCAUAAAAAGCUAAUGACAUGCAUAAUUUUCUGGAUCUUAACAUGUAAGAUCUUGAUGUUGUUGUUCUGUCAUGUGAAUAUGCACAGAUCGGAGAGCUAAAGAAGCUCGUUGAAGAAGGUAAGAUAAAGUACAUCGGUUUAUCCGAGGCCUCUGCAUCAACAAUCAGAAGAGCACAUGCUGUUCAUCCCAUCACAGCAGUGCAAUUGGAGUGGUCGCUUUGGUCAAGAGAUGUGGAGGCAGAGAUCGUUCCAACGUGCAGGUAGGAUAUCACUCUGUUAAUUGUUUAUGCAGCAACAACAGCUUCCUUCUGACUCUGCUUUUCCUUUAAAAUGCUGACUAGGGAGCUUGGCAUUGGAAUUGUUGCCUACAGUCCUUUAGGACGAGGAUUCUUUUCUGUUGGCUCCAAGUUGGUGGAGAAUAUCUCUAAGGAUGACUUCAGACAGGUCUGUUCCUGCUUGUCAACAUAAUUAGAUGUUUACAUUGACUGUCAUUCUUAUUGAAGUGCUGGAAACCUGUUCUUGUGGUAUAAAGAAAAAGUAUCUGGAUGGGAUGAAUAAAACUUGGUGACACGAAUGCUUCGUGUUCUUAUAUGUCUUUAAUCCAGCACUUGCCAGACAUCCCACCUCUCUUGAUUCUAGAUAAAUGUAAAAUCACAAGUAACGGCUUUAAUGAGCCUGAAAGAGGCAGUUUCCUGGAUUCUCGUGCUUUUGGGAAUGAAUACAUAUAGGUUUAUAUGUAAGUUGCUCUGUUUCCCAGCCUUCCCAACAUUUGCUUAUCACUAUCCUUUCCCCACUUUCCACCCACCCUUUUUCUCUCAUCUUUCUUCACAAGAAUAGCGAUAUUUCCUCGAAAUAACUGACGCCAGUAUCGGGCUUUGGCCCUCCGUCCUUUUUCAUUCUCAUCUUUCUUCACAAGAUAAACUAUAUCUUGACACAACCAUUUCUUGAGCGCGGACUCCCGACACCCUUCUUAUGAGAGUUUUGGAUCAAGUUCCCAUCUGACAUAAAGCCAAUUGUGUAUUACUCCCCGCCAUUAGCGUUUGACUAGCGAUAGUGCUGGGCAAGUGAAGUAGCUAUUUUUCUUUGUAGCUAAAAGAGCUCUGCGUCUGAUAACAUUCUUCUACUCAUCAUCUACAUUUCUGAUUUUUUAUUUUAUGUGACUAAUGGUAUCAUCACACGUACAAAACUUAGAUUGUCGAGUUUGUUUCUGUUUUCACAUCCUACAUCAAGCCCAUCAGCCUUGUGUGGUAGUUGCUAGAUCACUUCGCUUGACGUUUCUAAUGCUUAUGAUUUGGGACAUGAUAUUUUAAUCAUUUCAAGAUAAUUUAUAACUGAUCAUGCUUUUUCAGAUACACAACGAUUGCACACUUCUAAAUGCUUAUUAUGUCAAGUAACAAGACAAUCCGAUGGCAUGCAAUGCAACCACUUUUGCACUUGUUGCUGUAGAAUUUAGCCUUAAGAGGAAAAUGAUAAUUUCUCAUAUGCUCUCUGCUGAGACAUUGCUCUAUGUUAUGCAGUAUCUACCAAGGUUCCGGCCAGAGAACUUGGCUCACAACACGAAGUUAUUUGACCGAGUGAAUGAAAUUGCGCAAAGAAAGGGAUGCACCACAUCGCAGUUAGCCCUGGCCUGGGUACACCACCAGGGUGACGACAUUUGCCCGAUUCCCGGCACAACCAAGAUCGAGAAUUUCAACCAGAACAUUGGAGCUCUGUCAGUGAAGCUUACACCGGAAGAGAUGGCCGAGCUUGAAUCGAUUGCUUCUGCGGACAAUGUCAAGGGUGGCAGGUACGAUGGAAGCAUGUCUACAUGGGAAAACUCCGACACUCCACCCCUUUCUUCUUGGAAACCUGCCUAGAAGCGUGUCUGCUUCUGUUGCUGCAUCUUUGAUGUGCAGAGGUUGAGCAUUUGCCGCUGAAGUAAUUUGAGUUUAUGUUGUGUGGCUGUUAUAAGUAUGUGUAAUAAGAGAGUGACUGUUUUCAUUUUGUACAUGUGACAUUCACUAUGAUAAGAUUAUGGAUGUGUACUAACCUUACUGGGGAAAGAUCACUCGAUAAACACGAGAGCGAGUUGAAUACGAACUGAGCCUGCCGUGUCGACUUUAUUGGGGUGACUUUUAGAAUCUGAGAAAUCGGGAUUUUGAAGAAUUCAAACUCAGUCGUACAUACUAGAGUGGUAUUCUCCACCAACCAUGAGUUCAAUCUCUUAAGACUGGAUGCUGCACAUAGAUGCAAAGCUUCGCUUUGUGUUUG